UUUCAGUCACCAGAACUACAGAAGAUGUACAAUGAGACUUUCUCAAUAGACCCAGUGACUGGAUAUGUAACUUUAAAGAAGUGUUUAGACUAUGAAAGCAAUAGUUACUAUAAAUUCACACUCAUGGCAAAGGAUUCCGGACCAAACGGAGGAUUGAACAGUACUGCUGAAUUAAUUAUCCAUGUAAAAGACGUCAAAGACGAGUCGGCUAUAAUCACUGGCUAGAAACAUCAUUUUACAAGAAUGACAAUACAUGUAGAUCCUAAUAGCACCAUCUAAGUCCUUUACACUUUUGAAUGAUAUACAUAGUCUGCUCAUAAGUUUUGGAAAACUGUUUUUAGUACAAAACUGUUUCAGAGAGGAAUGAACCCUAGAUAAGUUGGUAACUGCUUAAAUUUUAAAAAUGAUUUUACACAUGGUUGCUGAACUUCUAUUUAUUGAAAUAUUAAUAUAUACAUUUCAUAUCUUAUUCUUCUGUCACGUAGAUAUGCACAUUACAUUAAGGAAAAAUGUAAAAUAUAAACAGUGCGUAUUCUCAUAAAUCAUAAGUGUUUUGUACACAUGAUACAAUAUAGCUUAAGUGGAAAAGAUGUCAGGAAAUCAUAUUUUCAGGUGAAAAAAUUGAACUGUAAUUGUGUUUAUCUGUAAAAUAAUCUGCUAUUAAAGCUAAGUAUGUUGCGG
This is a long non-coding RNA of Mercenaria mercenaria, 681 nucleotides long. RefSeq lists it as uncharacterized. The transcript is spliced from 2 exons. NCBI's taxonomy places the organism in Eukaryota, Metazoa, Mollusca, Bivalvia, Venerida, Veneridae. The record is from RefSeq and is a predicted model, not a curated record.